This 248-nucleotide long non-coding RNA is filed under the name Ananas comosus (pineapple). Its description in RNAcentral is "long non-coding RNA (ACOM_LNC036670)". Lineage: Eukaryota; Viridiplantae; Streptophyta; Magnoliopsida; Poales; Bromeliaceae. The record is from RNAcentral.
AUGAAACACAAUUCCAAAGUUCGCUCCAUGGCUACUAGAACUAGUAGAGUUGUUACCACUACACUACUAGUGCUCCUAGGUGCAACCAUAUGCUCCGCCGCUAGAACCCUUCUCUCUCUAGAGGCCGGAGCCUACGGCGUUGGCCACGGCAUCGGCAUCGGUGGCGGGGGCGGCUACGGCGGCGGAGGUGCCGCUGCUGGAGGUUCUGGUGGUGGAGGUGGCGGCGGUGGCGGGAGUGGCGGCGGNGG